This is a long non-coding RNA of Cryptotermes secundus, 4768 nucleotides long. RefSeq lists it as uncharacterized. The record is from RefSeq and is a predicted model, not a curated record. The transcript has 3 exons. Lineage: Eukaryota; Metazoa; Arthropoda; Insecta; Blattodea; Kalotermitidae.
ACUUUAUUUAAGAACAGAGUACAUUAUAAAUGAAACAAAAUAACGCUCUUUUUUCUCAAGCCCUGAACUGUAACUGACGUGAGGCUCGUUGUUGUGUCAUCUAAUCUGCAGUGUUGCCAACCUGCGCAUUAUUUAUGAAAUGACCCACGUAAUACUCUAUGCUUUGCCUGCAUAUUGCCUUCUUUCAGUACUGCCAUUCUGCAAGAGAGAUGAAGCUCGUCUACAAUAGAUAAUGCCAUUGUAUAGCCGUGAUACGUUCAGUCUAUUUUUGAGAUUGUAAUCUGGUUGUCCAUUUUGUGGCAAGUUGUUGGAAAGACUUCAUGUUGAAGUAACCUUUUUUAUGCUGUGAGCACAGCUCCUUUCUGAGAUUGUAUUCUGAGGGUUAUUUUAUGGAAAGUUGUUUUGAAAGACAUCAUAUCAGGUAGAACCUUUUUUUUACUUAGACUCUUGUUAAUUACAGUCAUUUAAAAUUCUGAAUGUCUGUACUACGAUAAUACUCGAUGCUAUGCCUGCAUAUUGCCCUUUUUCAGUUUUGCCAUUCUGCAAGAAAGGUGAAGCUCGUGUACAGUAGAGAGUGACAUAUAACUGUGAUAUGUUAAUGGAGAGAGUAGCUUCUUUUUGAGGUCAUUUUCUUGCUGGAAAUACUUAUCAAGAAGUACCUUUUCUUGAUAUUGUAUGUCAUUAAUUACAGUUAUUUAAAUUUUUGGAUGUUAUUUGAAAUAAGCAUCAUCAGCAUUGUAACAUGGUGAUUAACUUUCAACAAUAUCCAAGAAAUUAAUUGUAUGAUCUUAUAUUUGUACAUGAUACCAUGACAUUUCCUGAGACUAUCAUGAAGUAGUUGUAUGUUAUUUCCUUAGGUGCCCUGGUACUCCGGUUAUUCUGCGCAAAAAGAAAUGGAGAACCUCUUGUAAUGGAUUAAGUAGACAAGCAGACAAAUGUUAACCUUGCACCAUUGUGUUCUCUAGUCAGUAGAGAAUGCCAUUGUAUAGCCAUGAUAGAUGGAGUAAAAGCACAGCUGCUUAUUGAGAUCAAAAGGAUACCUCAUAGAUGGGUUUCCAGAUCACUGUGGACAACCAUGUUUUGAACUCAACUGUGGUGACAUAUGCAGCGGUCCUUGGUGAGGAUUGAUGGUGAUCUUUCCUAUCCUACCUAAGCAUCUAUGCCAUUUGCAGAUUUUGGAUGUUUUGUGUCCUCAAAUCAGACUCUGCAGGCUGCAGGUCAUCCAUCUGCUUGAAGUUGUCUCUUCCUACUUGAUGAGUAUUAGACAAGCUUUUCUUAAUACGUUCAAGUGUUAGAAAUUACUGCCAGUUGUAGUUCAUUAUUUGUUUUGACACCGAACUAUUUUGUGCAAAUUGUGAAUGUUGCCAUGUAUGGGUGUGUCCCCAACUCCUGUGAAUUUCAUGUUCUUGAAGUUUUAUGCUGAUUCUUUUAGGGAAAACUUAAUAGACAUAGUUCUGAGUAAAUGGUUGUAUUUAGAAGUGGCAAAUGAUUUUGAUGAUUAGGGCAGCAAAACUAGGACUAAAUGAGGGCAUGUCUGUACUAGCAUAACACUCUGCUUUGCCCACAUGAUGUCUGUUUUUCACUUUUACUAUUCUGCAAGGGAGAUGUUCCUGUACAAUCAGGAAUGCUAUUGCUGUGAUGCAUUCAGUGAGAGCACAACUCGUUUUUGAGAUUGUAUUCUGGAUGCUGUUUUGUGCCAAUUGAAAGACUUCGUAUCAGGGGGUACCCUUUUAUUUAUGCUGUAUGUUGUUAAUUUGAGUUAUUUAAAGUUUAGAGGUUAUUUCACUUUAAUAUUAAUGUUGUAACAUGAUCAGCUUUACGGCAAAAUCAGAGAACUUCGUGUUAUGAUUUCAUACUUAGCAUGACACUAGUUGUUGCUUCAUAGCACAGUGUAGUAGUUGGACUAUUUUUUUCCCUCAGGUGUACUGGUACUUGGUCACAGUACAAAAUGUCUCAAAAAAUGGUACCUUUUGUAAUGGAUUAAGUAUACAAGCCCAGCCCACACAUGUGUACCUUACGUGACGGAGAUGAUGCUAUGGCUUGAAAACUUUGAGAUGAUUCCCCACCACUGGGCAAGCUGCACAGUCUCCAUGGAUAUUGUUAUCCAGUUUGAAGCUUGAGGUUGGCCAUGUCUUGGGAAUGGUGUUGAAGCUGCAUUUCUUGUAUCAAUCAGCAGGGUUUAAUAUCGAGAUAAGCUCAGAGCUAUGAUUACAGAUUAUUCAGAACUUUGGAAUUAUUCUGAAGGAAAUUUCUGGAAUGCUGAAUGAUUAUUACUUGGAAUGAUUGGGUUAAUAUUUUUUGAUAGAAAGACUUGAAGUAUUAACAAUUUUUUUGUUGUUGUGUUCACUAUCAUGACAAAACUUGAUAAAAUUUCUAUUGCAUUUAUAAUUGUUAUAAUUCAUUGUGUUAAGCCCUUGCAUGGUAGGGUGUGCUUCAUGGCCAGGAGAUAUUUUAGUGGCACAUAUUCCUAGUCUUGCUGCUGCAGUUUUUCAACCAUCUCACAGCCGUGAGAAUGCUGAGGAAGUGUUUUGAGAUUUUUAGUGUAUUGCUGCUAUAUGGGUGUAGGUGAUCAUUGGAUAUGUUGUGAUGGAGGUGUUAACAACAGCAGAAUAAGCUUAUUUUAGUAGUUUGAUAAAUGCCUUUAAGAUUUACAAAAGUUUUCAUUUGAAUAUUUCCAAGCUAAUGUAAAUAUUAUUAAUGCAACUCAUAAAUGCUUUGAAUUGUGUUAUUAGAUUACUGUUGCUAGAGGUUAAUCUGUUGCUGUUGACAGUUGGCACAGCAAGCACUCAGAAACUGAAGGUACUUCUUAUCUGGUUAACUAGUUCAAACAGUGCAUAGAAUAGGAUGUGGUUAAUGUUUGUUUCUGGUCAGUGAUGAAACCCUAAAAUGAAAGUUAAUUGAAAAGAAAAAAGAAAAGCUCUUGUGUGAUGCAUGUAUUUUGAUGUGGUAUCAUGCUUUAGUGAGUACUUCAGAUGUGGAGCAAGUAAGGGUUGAAAUGAGCAAAUCCCUUCUAAUAGAACAAGACACAAUUAUAUGUACAUGAUAUAAUCUUCAAUGAGUGAUCAGUUCAAUUUAUUAUUAUUGGACAGUUAUUAGUUUAACAUCGUUUAUAAAUUCAACUCAAAAUACUGUGGUUCAGGAAAUAUAAGGCUUCUAAAACUGAGGUGACUUGUUGGGACAUCUGUAAAUUAUAAUUGGGCUGCUUUUGUUUCAGUGUUUUCAUUAAAGUUUGCAGGCAGUUUUAUGAUACUAAUUUAUCCCGUGUUUCAUGUGUUGAGGGGGGAAAGAAAUUUUGUUUUCUGCAUAGAUUUCCUCUGGUUCCUUGCUUGCCACAACAAUUUAUGAAGAUUCUGUUUAUUUCUUGCCGAUGCUGUUGGGUGUACUGUGCUUGGAUUAGGUGCUGCAUAUCAGAAGGUGUGUGCUGAAUGAAGUUCAGUAGAACACAAUUCCUCCAUAAUGUAUAAGUUGAAAUGCAGGGUUUUCAUGCAGUUCAUGCUGUGAUGGCACUGGACAAAGAUUGUGUUUUGGUCUGGUUAACAAAGUUGGAAUACAUCAAUAGUAAGUAGUGUCCAUCACUAAGAACUGUAAUAAAUUUGUAUAUGCUUUGCUUUAGAACUAGUUUUGAAUAGUAGAAUAUGGAUUUAAACAUGAUCAGCCAGAUAUUUUUCUCAUAUUUUGAUUUUUAUUCUAUCUGUUAAAUGUAUGUGUGAUGGAAAGUCAAAAUGUUUUAAUUAUCACCAUGAGAAAAUCAUAAUUCCAAAAUAUUGUUCUGUGUAGGAGAUAGACCAUUUCCUGAGCUUGCCGAACAAUCAAAUUCUCCUGCACCAACUGCGCAGAGGGAGCCACCAGAAGGGGCAGAAGCAAAAUGGCGAUAUCGGUUGAAAAAGUGGAGGCUCAUGCUGUGAUACAGUUCCUGCAUUUGCUAGGGAAAUCUGCCAGGGAGAUCCACAACCAGAUGACCACUGUGUAUCAGGAAGGUGUACCAUCGUAUGACACAGUGGUCAGGUGGAAAAGGCGUUUUCAUUGUGGACAGACAAACCUUGAAGAUGAACCCUGAAGUGGAAGACCAUCUCUCCCUGAGGAACCAGGAAUUGUGGCACAGGUGGAAAGCUUUGAUCCUAUCUGAUGGGCACAUAACUAUUGAAGCUAUUGUUGAUGAGGUCUGCAUUAGCCAUGGGUCGGUUUUCAGCAUCAUCCAUGACAAGUUACACAUGACAAAGGUCACUGUGCGUUGGGUGUCAUGAUUGUUGACACCAGUUUAAAAACAGCAACGGACAGAUGUGGCAAAGAAACUCUUGCAGUUGUGUCAAUAUGAAAAGGUGGAAUUUUUCGACCACCUGAUCACGAUGGCUGAAUGUUGGGUCUAUCAUUAUGACCCUGAAAUGAAGAAAAUAAGCAAGCAGUGGAAACAUGCAGACUUGCUGCCACCAAAGAAGGUCAAAUCCCAGCCGUCAUCAAGAAUGGACACAUGUCAAAAUAUGCUCAACACGUGCUAGACACAGGCCACACAUAUGGCACAAUUGAAGAGACCGUGGAAGUGGUAGAGAGAGCAGAGAAAAGCCAUUUACUUAAUACACUCAAACGACUUUUUAUAUAAAUGACUUAAGUAAAAGGAAGCUACAGAUGAACGACACUUACACAGAUACGCAUAAACCCAUCUUUGACCUUAUAAUAAAUAAUCCCAAUUACUAUACUUGCAUAACAUUCCCAUCCCCCCAUAUUCCACCAUCACUCCCCUCGCACACACACACACACACACACACACACA